AGCUCCAAUAGCGUAUCUUAAGGUUGUUGUGGUUAAAAAGCUCGUAGUUGGAUCUCGGCAGGCUUGGGGCGGUUUGCUUGCUAGUAUUACUGCCCUAUAGUCUGUAGUUUUGCCAGAGGUUUUAGGGUGCUCUUAAUCGAGUGUCACUGAGUGCUGACAGGUUUACUUUGAAAAAAUUAGGGUGCUUAAGGCAGGCUGUUAUGCUCGAAUAUUUGUGCAUGGAAUAAUAGAAUAGGAUGUUGAUCUUAUUUUGUUGGUUUUCGAGACUUGACAUAAUGAUUAAUAGGGACAGUCGGGGGCAUUUGUAUUCAAACGACAGAGGUGAAAUUCUUGGACCGUUUGAAGACAAACUACUGCGAAAGCAUUUGCCAAGAAUGUUU
Molecule: ribosomal RNA, 380 nt
Filed under: uncultured eukaryote
Lineage: Eukaryota
Description: SSU rRNA
Rfam family: Eukaryotic small subunit ribosomal RNA
Source: RNAcentral